Molecule: long non-coding RNA, 406 nt
Filed under: Helianthus annuus (common sunflower)
Lineage: Eukaryota; Viridiplantae; Streptophyta; Magnoliopsida; Asterales; Asteraceae
Source: RNAcentral
GGAAAGCCAAACAUGCACUAUGUAUGAUUGUAUGAUGCUGAUCAUCGUGAGGCGUUUUGGUCCCAUAAGUCGUGGCGCGCAUCUGUGCGCAACCAAAUAACCUUUAUUUACAACCAGAAGCGGUUUCUCUAAUUUUUUUAUGUAUCAACCUAUUUAUCAAUUAAUUGAAGAACAUGGGUAGAUGAUGAAUGGCCAAACGAUAGAAAGAGCUCGAGCUAUGGUUUCGGUUGAUGAUGAUGAUGCUAUGAAAAGAAGUAGCGUUGAUGCCUAGAUACACAUUUAGACGUUUAGGUUUAAUAUGUUGUAUCAAUUUUGCUUGUGUUGUCAUGUACUUCUUUUGAACUUGUUGUAUUUGAAUUUCUUGUAAUGUUGACAAUUUACUUUAUGAAAUGAAAUCGGAUUAUUA